Molecule: ribosomal RNA, 254 nt
Filed under: uncultured Pseudomonas sp.
Lineage: Bacteria; Pseudomonadati; Pseudomonadota; Gammaproteobacteria; Pseudomonadales; Pseudomonadaceae
Description: partial 16S ribosomal RNA
Rfam family: Bacterial small subunit ribosomal RNA
Source: RNAcentral
CGGACGGGUGAGUAAUGCCUAGGAAUCUGCCUGGUAGUGGGGGACAACGUUUCGAAAGGAACGCUAAUACCGCAUACGUCCUACGGGAGAAAGCAGGGGACCUUCGGGCCUUGCGCUAUCAGAUGAGCCUAGGUCGGAUUAGCUAGUUGGUGAGGUAAUGGCUCACCAAGGCGACGAUCCGUAACUGGUCUGAGAGGAUGAUCAGUCACACUGGAACUGAGACACGGUCCAGACUCCUACGGGAGGCAGCAGUA